Molecule: ribosomal RNA, 482 nt
Filed under: uncultured bacterium
Lineage: Bacteria
Description: partial 16S ribosomal RNA
Rfam family: Bacterial small subunit ribosomal RNA
Source: RNAcentral
AUUGAACGCUGGCGGCAUGCCUUACACAUGCAAGUCGAACGGUAACGGGCCUUCGGGUGCCGACGAGUGGCGCACGGGUGAGUAAUACAUCGGAACGUGCCCGAUCGUGGGGGAUAACGAGGCGAAAGCUUUGCUAAUACCGCAUACGAUCUACGGAUGAAAGCAGGGGACCGCAAGGCCUUGCGCGGACGGAGCGGCCGAUGGCAGAUUAGGUAGUUGGUGGGAUAAAAGCUUACCAAGCCGACGAUCUGUAGCUGGUCUGAGAGGAUGAUCAGCCACACUGGGACUGAGACACGGCCCAGACUCCUACGGGAGGCAGCAGUGGGGAAUGUUGGACAAUGGGCGCAAGCCUGAUCCAGCCAUGCCGCGUGCAGGAUGAAGGCCUUCGGGUUGUAAACUGCUUUUGUACGGAACGAAAAGCCUUCUUUUAAUACAGGAGGGUCAUGACGGUACCGGAAGAAUAAGCACCGGCUAACUACGUG